Molecule: ribosomal RNA, 490 nt
Filed under: uncultured bacterium
Lineage: Bacteria
Description: partial 16S ribosomal RNA
Rfam family: Bacterial small subunit ribosomal RNA
Source: RNAcentral
AUUGAACGCUGGCGGCAGGCCUAACACAUGCAAGUCGAACGGUAACAGAAAGCAGCUUGCUGCUUUGCUGACGAGUGGCGGACGGGUGAGUAAUGUCUGGGAAACUGCCUGAUGGAGGGGGAUAACUACUGGAAACGGUAGCUAAUACCGCAUAACGUCGCAAGACCAAAGAGGGGGACCUUCGGGCCUCUUGCCCUCGGAUGUGCCCAGAUGGGAUUAGCUAGUAGGUGGGGUAACGGCUCACCUAGGCGACGAUCCCUAGCUGGUCUGAGAGGAUGACCAGCCACACUGGAACUGAGACACGGUCCAGACUCCUGCGGGAGGCAGCAGUGGGGAAUAUUGCACAAUGGGCGCAAGACUGAUGCAGCCAUGCCGAGUGUAUGAAGAAGGCCUUCGGGUUGUAAAGUACUUUCAGCGGGGAGGAAGGGAGUAAAGUUAAUACCUUUGCUCAUUGACGUUACCCGCAGAAGAAGCACCGGCUAACUCCGUG